Molecule: long non-coding RNA, 1407 nt
Filed under: Canis lupus dingo (dingo)
Lineage: Eukaryota; Metazoa; Chordata; Mammalia; Carnivora; Canidae
Description: lncRNA (ENSCAFG00020010112.1)
Source: RNAcentral
AUGAAUUUACCAACAAAUUCAUUUGUACUACUUUGGGACCUAUUUCAACCUAUUUUCAGAGGGCUCACAAGAUUUAUAAACAUAAAGGAUGUAAUUCUAAAGUGGCACAACUUCUCCAGAAAAGAACACAGAGGACACGUCUCCAGCUCCUACUGUGUAGCAGUGACUAUUAAAGGCUGGCUCUCUAGGCUUCACAUCUUCUUUGGGACCGAAGCAGACAAGGGGACACUGCCUAUGUUCUGUAACAGGUCACUUAUGCUCAAUAUCAAACUUUGGUUCACAGAAUUAAUGGUGGAAGUUGUAGCUACCUUUAUCCUGGGUAAGAUAAGAAGUUAUGUUCCUGCAUUGUUUGUGACAUGGCCGGACAACCAAUGGAAAUUCCUGGGUUGUUUCAAAAAGAUGUGCCAGUUUAUGGUGAAGAAGACCCUUAUUUAUGUCCUGAGUUCUCUUGCGUCCAUUAUACACAAUCUAAUUGUUGGAGAAGUCUUCAUCAAUAAGCUAUAUUACUUUCUACACAAAAAGAUGGUUUCUGAACCCACAGCUGUGGUUGUCGUUUAGCUACUCUUACACCUACUCACCCUGCAGUCGUUGGGGGGAUACUUGGCACCCGGAGGAGAGCAAAGGACUUUCCUCGCUUAUCUACUGCCACUGGAGGCUUGUGUGCACGCUCGGCUCUCUCCCCGAGCCUGGCCCAUUCUGUCCUCUCACAAGGAACACUGGCUCACAACUGUGAGUGGAAACAUUGAUAUUGAAACCCUAAUGCUCAGCAGCCUGACAGGGAGGCCGGAGACCAAUGUGCAAGUUGGUCUGAUCCGCCUCCGCGUCUGAUGUCACAUGAACUUGCAGCCCGUACCAACCGACACACAGCUCCGUUCUGCCACAGUUGUCACAAGGAAGCUUAUUUCGCUGAACUCCACCCAGUGACACCGUCUCUAUGUGGCAAAGCCAGUUAUUUAUGCUGCAUCGAUCCUAAUCCUUUCAGAAGAACUUCUACAACCUAUGGUGUUACCUUCAUCAAUUGAGCCCCUCACCCCCUCAGCCCCCAGAGCACAUUUGGUUCUUCUUGAAUCUGUGUCUCCUUGAUUUCUUUUUUUUCUUUUCAAGAUUUUAUUUUUUUCAUCAGAGACACACACACACAGAGAGAGAGAGAGAGAGAGAGAGUCAAAGACACAGGCAGAGGGAGAAGCAGGCUCCAUGCAGGGAGCCCGACGUGGGACUUGAUCCCGUGUCUCUAGGAUUAGGCCCUGGGCUGAGGCAGUGCUAAACCGCUGAGCUACCCGGGCUGCCCCUUUGAUUUCAGUACAGUUUUUUUUUGUUUUGUUUUUUUGUGUGUGUGUUUGUUUUUGCAGCCUCAACUCUGUCCUGUUUCACAUACUGAGCAAAUAAAGUUCCUUUCAGGCAAUGGCA